Molecule: ribosomal RNA, 393 nt
Filed under: uncultured bacterium
Lineage: Bacteria
Description: partial 16S ribosomal RNA
Rfam family: Bacterial small subunit ribosomal RNA
Source: RNAcentral
AUACGUAGGGAGCGAGCGUUAUCCGGAUUUAUUGGGUUUAAAGGGUGCGCAGGCGGGAGAUUAAGUCGGCGGUGAAAUUUUGCAGCUCAACUGUAAAAGUGCCUUCGAAACUGGUUUCCUUGAGUGUAGAUGAAGUAGGCGGAAUUUGUGGUGUAGCGGUGAAAUGCAUAGAUAUCACGAGGAACUCCGAUUGCGCAGGCAGCUUACUAAACUACUACUGACGCUCAGGCACGAAGGCGUGGGGAUCAAACAGGAUUAGAUACCCUGGUAGUCCACGCAGUAAACGAUGAUUACUAGCUGUUUGCGAUACAAUGUAAGCGGCUGAGCGAAAGCGUUAAGUAAUCCACCUGGGGAGUACGUUCGCAAGAAUGAAACUCAAAGGAAUUGACGGGG